This is a long non-coding RNA of Piliocolobus tephrosceles (Ugandan red Colobus), 2518 nucleotides long. Lineage: Eukaryota; Metazoa; Chordata; Mammalia; Primates; Cercopithecidae. The record is from Ensembl.
ACUUCUUCUUCAUCUCCUUUUUUUUUUCCUCUUCUUCAUCAUUUCUUUUUUCUGUAGCUAUUACUUUAACAGUUUUAAUAGGAUUUACUUUUUUUAUUUUAUUCGAAUUAUUUGCAUUCUUUACAUAUUUUAAUGAACUGUCAUAUAAAUUAUCAAUUAUGUUAUAUGCAUUAUUGUUGUUAUUGUUAUAUGUAUAACCAUUAACACCACUACUACUACUAUUCGUUCCAAUUGCUGAUUCUCUUUUUGUGUUUAUAUAAUCAUGUGAUAAUGGGGUAGUUUCAUUUUUAUUAAUACUACCACUAUUAUCUUUAUGCAUAUCCGAAUCAAUACCAUGAAAACCUUUAGUCAUAUUUCUUCCACCUCGCAUAGGAUGUAAGGCUGACAAUGAACCAUCACGAUUAUUGUUGUUAUUAUUAUACAUAUUAUUCAUGCUAUUUUUAAAAACAUUCAUAUUACCUUGAUUACUAGUUCCUUUCAUUUUAUAAUUAUUGUUGUUAUUAUGCGUGUUUGUAUGCAUCGACAUAUUAUUAAUAUUUUGUUUUUUAUCUUUUUUAUGUGAACUGUUCAUAUCUUUAUUCCUAUUCAUAAAAUUCGAAUCAUGCUUUUUUUUAUCCAUUCCAAUAUUAUUAAUAUUGUGUAUGUUGUUACCACCAGUAGUACCCAUGUCAUAGUUAUUUGUAGAAUUUGCAUUUUUCAUCUCUUCUUUAUUAUUGUUAUUAUAUACAUCCGAUUUUGUAUUAUACAUGGUAUUUUCACUUAUAUGUUUAUGAAUGACACUAAAUUUAAAAUUCUUUUUAUGUUCAUCUCCACCGUGCAUAUGUUUCAAACUGUUGUUAGUAUUGUUAAACAGGUUUGGCAUAUUCAUAAUAUUACUAUUGUUAGUGUUAUUGGUACUGUUGUUGGUACUGUUGUUGGUACUGUUAUUGGUACUGUUAUUGGUACUGUUAUUGGUAUUGUUGUUGUUGUUGUUGUUGUUGUUGUUGUUGUUGUUGUUGUUGUUGUUGUUGUUGCCAUAUUUUUUAACACUACUAUUAUUAAAUGGGGUUUUAUUUAAUACAAAGCCUUUUUUUGCAGAAUUGUUAUUAACUAUCGUAUUAUUGUUAUUACUUCUCACAUUAUCAUUAUUAUUAUUUUUCAUAGUGUCAGUGUUAUUACCACCGGUGUGGUGAUAAGUGUGAUAAUUAUUCUGAUUGGAUUGACUACUCUGAUUAUUAUAGCUAAAGUUUCUAUUCAUGUUUGUAUUUUUUUUAAAAUUAAAUGCUUUGUUUCCUGAAGAAUUAACAAAUCCUUUGUUGUUCUCAUUAUUAUUACUAUUAUUAUUAUUACUAUUAUUAUUAUUAUUAUUAUUAUUACUAACAUUAACAUUAUUUUGAUUACUCACCAAUGUGUUUUUUUUUUAUUCAUUCUUUCAGAUUCUUCUUGUUUUUCAAAUUUUCUUUCAAUUUGUUCUGAACCCAUAUUGUUGUUAUUGUUACUUCUAUUGUAUUUUUCUUUAAACUUUUCUGUAUCAGUUGUGGUUGUCACGGUAGCAAUAUCUUUUUGUUUUUCCUUUUCGUUUGCAUUAUUUGUACUUAAAAAUUUGUCCGGAUCUGUAUUAACAGGUCUAGCUUCACCAAAAAUACUAGGAUUCGCUACAUAACUAUUAGUAUCUAUAGGGACAGUUCUUUUUUUUACAUUCAAUUUUUUUCUUUCUACAUUUUUAUUAGCAACAUUUUCAUUAUUCAUAAUUUUAUUAUGAUCAGUCAUAUUAUUUUGAAAGUUAUUAUUUUUUAAAUUAAAUGCAUUAUUGUUAUUAUUAUUAUGCAUGUUAUCAUUCAUCAUAUGUGUAUUAUUAUUACUUUGAUUUAAAUUUAUAUGAUUUAUGUAUUUUCCUUUUACAUUGUUAUAAUUAAAAUUAGGAUUCAUGUUAUUAUUUUUCAUAUCACCACCUAUUAACAUCUUAUUCUGAUUAUUAUUAUUAUCAUUAAAAAAAGCAUUAUAAUUAUUAUUCAUACCAUACAUGUUAUUAUUAUUAUUAUUUAUCAUAUUAUGAUUCAUGUUGUUCAUAUGAUUAUAAUUAUUCAUCAUGUUAUUCAUAUUGUUACUAUUAUUAUUAUUAUUAUUAUUAUUUUGACGUAAAUUUGAAAAAUUAUUUGAUCUGUUCAUAUUUUUUUUAAACUUAUUUUGUUUCUGAUUUAAAUUAAAACCUUUCACCUUUUCAUUAAUAAUAACUGAAAUUGCAUUCUGUUCACCUCCACUAUUUCCUGUCGGCAAUAUUCUACCAUUAAAUUCUAAUGAUCUAUUCAUAUCUUCUGGAUUAUCAAAUUCUACAUACGCUGCAGACAUUUUGUCCUUUCUGUUAAACAAGCUAAUUUUUUUUAUGUGGUAACCAUUGAACAAAGUGUACAAAUCGUUUUUCGUUACAUUUUCACCGAGAUUGCGAAUGUAUAUUUCGUAGCAUGGAGGAUAGUUGUUCAUAUCUGCGUAAAAAAAAUGAAAAAAUAAAAAAAAAAAAAAAAAAAAAAAUAAGGAUGAA